AACGAACGCUGGCGGCAUGCCUAACACAUGCAAGUCGAACGAGACCUUCGGGUCUAGUGGCGCACGGGUGCGUAACGCGUGGGAACCUGCCCUUAUGUUCGGAAUAACUCUCCGAAGGGGGUGCUAAUACCGGAUAAUGUCUUCGGACCAAAGAUUUAUCGCAGUUGGAUGGGCGCGCGUUGGAUUAGCUUGUUGGGAGGGUAAAAGCCUACGAAGGCGAGGAUCCAUAGCUGGGCUGAGAGGAUGAUCCGCGACACUGGGAGUGGGACACGGCCCGGACUCUUACGGGAGGGAGCAGUGGGUGAUAUUGGAAAAUGGGCGGAAGGCUGAUCCAGCAAUGCCGGGUGAGUGAUGAAGGUCUGAGGGUUGUAAAGCUCUUUUACCCGGGAUGGUAAUGACAGUACCGGGAGAAUAAGCUCCGGCUAACUCCGUG
This 433-nucleotide ribosomal RNA is filed under the name uncultured bacterium. RNAcentral describes it as "partial 16S ribosomal RNA". It matches the Rfam family "Bacterial small subunit ribosomal RNA", at positions 29 to 507 of the family's 1533-position model. The record is from RNAcentral.